This 79-nucleotide transfer RNA is filed under the name Opitutaceae bacterium. RNAcentral describes it as "tRNA-Pro". It matches the Rfam family "tRNA". Rfam says of the family: Transfer RNA (tRNA) molecules are approximately 80 nucleotides in length. Their secondary structure includes four short double-helical elements and three loops (D, anti-codon, and T loops). The record is from RNAcentral. Lineage: Bacteria; Pseudomonadati; Verrucomicrobiota; Opitutia; Opitutales; Opitutaceae.
CCGGACGUAGCUCAGCCUUAGUCAGAGUGCUCGCUUCGGAAGCGAGGGGUCGCAGGUGCAAAUCCUGCCGUCCGGACCA